UUCGGAUGGAGAGUUUGAUCCUGGCUCAGAACGAACGCUGGC
Molecule: ribosomal RNA, 42 nt
Filed under: Seleniivibrio woodruffii
Lineage: Bacteria; Pseudomonadati; Deferribacterota; Deferribacteres; Deferribacterales; Geovibrionaceae
Description: partial 16S ribosomal RNA
Source: RNAcentral